UACGAAGGGGGCUAGCGUUGCUCGGAAUGACUGGGCGUAAAGGGCGCGUAGGCGGGAUGGCAAGUCGGUCGUGAAAUCCCUCGGCUCAACCGAGGAACGUCGAUCGAUACUGCUGUUCUUGAGGAUUGCAGAGGAGACUGGAAUUCCCGGUGUAGCGGUGAAAUGUGUAGAGAUCGGGAGGAACACCGGUGGCGAAGGCGGGUCACUGGCCCGGUACUGACGCUGAGGCACGAAAGCGUGGGGAGCAAACAGG
This 253-nucleotide ribosomal RNA is filed under the name uncultured bacterium. RNAcentral describes it as "partial 16S ribosomal RNA". It matches the Rfam family "Bacterial small subunit ribosomal RNA", at positions 524 to 776 of the family's 1533-position model. The record is from RNAcentral.